CGCUCCCGCACUCUCCUCCCCUCCUGCCUCUUCUCUUCCCCACCUACUCCUGCUGUCGCCGCCGCCGCCGCCUCCGCUCCUGCUGUCGCCGCAUCGCCGCCCCAAACCCCUGCCGCAUCGGAGAGAAAUCCAUGGCGGUGGACAAGCCCGGCGGCGGCGGGGCCUCCUCCUCCUCGCACGCGUCCACCACGGACCGACCGCGUCAGCAAGAGGAGAGGAGCAGCAGCCGCAGCGCGUCCUCAGUCCGACCUCGACAAGAGAAGGGGAGCAGCAGUCCGACCUCGUCGCCACCUCUCCUCACCUUCUCCCAGGUUCCUGAUCUGGAGUGGGAGGGACGCACGCCGGCGAGGCCAGGCUACCCUUGACACGCAUAUGUAGAAUGUUCUCACUAUCAACUCUGGAAUAACUAGCAAGUAGUGGUGUCAAUGGCAUCCGUGGGAGUCAUUUUGGUGGCACAUGGACAUCACGUUCUGGAAUAAAGCCAUGGAACAAUAAAUAACUUGGCAACGGAUACCCUGUGGUCUACAAUUAUACUGUAAUUAUGUGUGCACUUUGGAUCUAUUGGAUGUCUGGAUGUAUUGUUAAUCGACAACUACUGAUGCAAAGGAGAUGUGUGUCGAGAGGCACAUGAAUACGCACGUGGGCUGUUUUUCAGCAUGGUAGUCUAAAAAACUGUGGUAUUCUCAGAAAAUGCUUUGCUAUCAAACAGGGCAAGUGCAGAUUUCCUUGAAUAUAGUUUAUUUUACAAUUGUGUUGCCAACGUGCUUCCUGUUUUAUCACCAUCAAAUAGUUCUAGGUGCUCAUAUAAAAUUUAGUGGCGUGUAUAAGUGAUUGUAGUGCAGUUUUGUUGAUCUGCUUGCAUUUUCAGCAUUAUAGUGUUGAUAUACUAUCUCAAUAAAACAGUGAAUACGUAUAAUAUGUACAAGCUACAUUCAAGUUAUGGCAAUGUGCCUGGGUAAGACGAACUGGUAAUCUUCUGCUAGCUGAAAAAAACUUGUUUCGUCUUUAUAUGUGUUUCUUGUUGAAACUCUUUUUCGUCUUUGCAUGUGUUUCUUGCUGAAGCUCGUGAUUUUCAAGUUAUGGCAGUACAUAUGUCUACCCACUUGCAUGACUUCCGAUAUUGUCCUUAUUUUGCUCCUCCUUAGCCUUGUUCUGUUAGUGCAGUUCUUUUAAAUAGCAGGGACAGAGUCCCAGAAAACAUGCCUGAUUGCUUUUCUUAGUGGUGCACUUGCAAGUAUAUGUGGUCGUUUCUGUUAGUUUCUCAUGCUUUUCUACAAAGUGAUAGGUUAAUAAUGUCAUCAACAAUUUUUUCCUUAACUGAUCAAUAUCUUAGAAGUUGUCACUCAUUAGUUUUCUUUUCCUUAUCUGAUCUCUAGCGAGUAGAGUGAUUUAUUUUCGCAAUACCUAAUUCUGAUCAUAGGUAAUGAAAGAUUUGUUUUCAUUAAAUGAGAUUCUUGUUUUGUGUUGAUUUUGCAAAAUUUCUGUAGCUACAUAUUUUCUCAAUCCAAUAGACACAUUUUAAUCAACCUUUAGUAUAAUGUUAAUAAUAUGCUUUUAGAAAAAGGGAGAUGCCAUUUAGACCUUACUCUGUCUAACUUGAUCUUCAACUUGCCGCUACUGUUUCUAAGCAUUUUCCCGAAAACUGUUGUAUUUGCUUUAGAGAAUGAGCUCACCUUACUCAGAAGAUAUGCCAAGUAAAAAAUUAGAAAUUGAACAAUUAGUUCCGCUCUUAAAUUUUGCACAACAGUCCAAAUUAUCCAAUAAAUUAUGUGUUAGCAGGGUCAGAUUAUAGAAGUUGAAUCACUUGUUCUAAAUUACCCAAUCCAAAUUAUGGAUGUUAAUAAUAUGCUUUCUGUUAGACUAUUAGUCAAAUUGUUGAAAGCCGGAGCAGGGUCAAGGAGCCGGCCUCCGCCUUUGGCCAUUACGUGAGAAGCAACACCGGUGUUGGCCGUUACCGUGUGCAGAGUGCGUGAGUUAGUGAUUUAAUUCCAUCCUUUCCAUCUCAUGAUGUGAUUUUUCCUUUAGGAUGAAUUAGUAACUUUGUGUGGAGGUGGCACCACUACCUGCUGGUUGGUGUAAUGCCGUGCUUGACAGGGUGAUCUGCAAUUCCGAGUUUGUUUAAUGGCUUAAUGUCUAAGCACUCAUCCCCUUAUUCUGUUGUGUUGCUACCAACUUGGUUUGCAAGGAACAGAGCUUCAUCUGUGUACAUCAAGAUUGCUAAUUGCCAUUUGAAGGGUGAUAGUAAGCAUGAAGAUGCCUAAGCUUAUGAGGAAGUUGCAAACUGCGACCAAAAAUUCUCACUUCAGGGUACUCUCUUUCGAUCUCGACUCAGAGAGGAAACGAGGCAGCCACGGCCUCCUGCCCCCACCGUUCUCUCCCUCUCUCCCGUGCCUUCGCGUUGCCGUAGUACUCCCGCGCUGCACACUGCUGCUGCUCCCCAACCACGGCGCUCUGAUGGUGCUUGCUCGCCUGGUCGCCGCCUCGUCUCGCCCGAUCUUGAUAUCGUCCGGGGCAGCGCCGGCACCGCUCGACCGCGUCGUUGCCUCCUCUGCGUCAUGAGAAGCGCCACCAUUGCCUCCACCCCCACUGGGCAAGGAGCUCGAGGUGUUUGGGGGUUCAUGUUUCCUACACAGGCCAAAACACUAUUGGAGUUUGAAACCAGUCGUUUGGAGCAGAUCAGCUCAAAAGAGAUCCUUUGUACCAUUUGCAGACUACCCACCUUCCUCUGGAGAUUGACAGGCCUGGAGUCUCGCUCGCCUCUGUUUUCCCCCUAUGGACACACAUGAGACUCAGAUCUUGGCUCGUCGUAGAGGAAUCGAUAGCAAGAAUCAACCAGAGAAAGGAUGUACACAAGGUGUUUAAAUAUUUACUUUGUUCCGGCGCCUACUUUGGAUCAUAGGAAACUAAAAAAAGAGGGCGCCGCCACCACCGUCAUCAGGCUGGCCCACAUCCACGCGCUGCUCGGCGUCACCAGGUCACCGGCACAACUCCUCACGCCCAGGUCGUUCAACAUUUCCGGCCGCUUUUGGUGCGCCACAUUUAGAGUCUUUCUUUCCCAUUUUACCGUGUUUGCAUGGUAAGAUGUUUGGUCGGAUUUGAAGGUUCGUAGCCUUGACUCCAAAGCUUCAAGCUCUUAUAGAAAUUAGAACUGAGGGCCUUUUAAAAUGAGUCCUGCAUAAUAGUGUUGUUCAGUGGGAUGCAGGAUUUUUUUUUGUCUGAUCGGCUAUCAUUGUUGCUGAUUUAAGUACUGAUUCAUCAUCAUAUGACCACAAUAAAGAAGCUGUGUGUAUAAAUAUUACUAACUGCUGAUACUUUGCAUCAGUGAUUUCAAUUCUGUUGGCCCUCCUUAAGAUUGCUUGGGAAUGUGAGGCUUAAAAGUUUCAACC
Molecule: non-coding RNA, 3386 nt
Organism: Aegilops tauschii subsp. strangulata
Lineage: Eukaryota; Viridiplantae; Streptophyta; Magnoliopsida; Poales; Poaceae
Source: RefSeq, a predicted model, not a curated record